UGGGGAAUCUUCCGCAAUGGACGAAAGUCUGACGGAGCAACGCCGCGUGUAUGAUGAAGGUCUUCGGAUUGUAAAGUACUGUCAUUGGGGAAGAACGGUUUUCUUGAAAAGAUUGAGAAGACAUGACGGUACCCAAGGAGGAAGCCCCGGCUAACUACGUGCCAGCAGCCGCGGUAAUACGUAGGGGGCAAGCGUUGUCCGGAAAUUAUUGGGCGUAAAGGGCGCGUAGGCGGGCCUUUAAGUCCGGUGUGAAAGAUCAGGGCUCAACCCUGAGAGUGCAUCGGAAACUGGAGGCCUUGAGGACAGGAGAGGAAAGUGGAAUUCCACGUGUAGCGGUGAAAUGCGUAGAUAUGUGGAGGAACACCAGUGGCGAAGGCGACUUUCUGGACUGUAACUGACGCUGAGGCGCGAAAGCGUGGGGAGCAAACAGGAUUAGAUACCCUGGUAGUCCACGCCGUAAACGAUGAGUGCUAGGUGUAGAGGGUAUCGACCCCCUUCUGUGCCGCAGUUAACACAAUAAGGCACUCCCGCCUGGGGAGGUACGGCCGCAAGGUUGAAACUCAAAUGAAUUGACGGGGUCAUAGCUGUUUUCC
RNAcentral lists this ribosomal RNA (593 nucleotides) under uncultured bacterium. RNAcentral describes it as "partial 16S ribosomal RNA". It matches the Rfam family "Bacterial small subunit ribosomal RNA", at positions 355 to 938 of the family's 1533-position model. The record is from RNAcentral.